UCCGGCACGGCCGGGGCUGCGCGCAUUUGUGCAGCUGCAUCAGGAACCCGAGAGUCAAAUCCUAAAUCCUGUCUGUUUGCGGGGAUUAGCCUGUUCUGCUAACUCGCUGAGAUGCACAAUGAAUAUUCUGCAGCCCCUUGUUUGUCAGGAGCUGUCUGCCUUUCAUCUAUUCAGAGCUGAACGGGGAUAAAUGGUUUGAAGAUGUUAUCGGAGUUCCUCUCGAACACCUCUUGUCACUGGAGGAGCCUCCAGUGUCCCUUUUAUCUCCAUCAGAGGCUGCUCUGUCUGGAGAACCAACCUGGAAACUCUUUCAGUCAGUUGUGACUCAUGAGGAGAGCAGCCAUGAGAAAGCCGAGAGCACCGUCCUGAACCUGAAUGCUCGCUCUGUUUGCUUGCUGUGGUUUGUUGGAUUUUCAUAAAAUAGUUUACACUGCCCUUCUGCUCCUAAUAUAAGGCCAUUAAAAACAUUCUCAAAAAUGCUGAUUUUCAAACUAAAUGGGGGCAUGGAAGAUUGAAGCCUCCUUCCCACUGAAACUGACAGUUCCAGUGUGGUGGUGCCCUGGGACGCUGGAUUCCUGGCAGUGGGACUGGCAGGUCCUGACUUUUAUACAGGAUUCUUGUCCCAAGCUCAUCCCAUCCCAUCCCAUCCCAUCCCAUC
Molecule: long non-coding RNA, 658 nt
Organism: Corvus hawaiiensis (hawaiian crow)
Lineage: Eukaryota; Metazoa; Chordata; Aves; Passeriformes; Corvidae
Exons: 4
Source: RefSeq, a predicted model, not a curated record